Molecule: long non-coding RNA, 315 nt
Filed under: Capsella rubella
Lineage: Eukaryota; Viridiplantae; Streptophyta; Magnoliopsida; Brassicales; Brassicaceae
Description: long non-coding RNA (CRUB_LNC004607)
Source: RNAcentral
UUAUUUCCUACAAGUCAUUUAUUUAUAUUAACAUCCCUGGUGAGAAAAAAUCUUUAUUUUUUUUUUUUUUUUUUAACGAAGAAAAUAAAUUUCGUCUUACCAACUAGUACAUUUUUAAUAUAUAUAUUGUCUCAGGAAAAAAAUGGUUGUAAGUUAGGUUUUGAUGUGACAAUCUUAUUCUUAACUCACCAAAAAAAAAAAAAAAAAAAAAGUUAGCCAUGCAUAGAGAAGUUUAUUAGUCAUGUGACUCAUGUCUGAGCAACUUACGUGGCUACUUUUCAAUAGUUGAAUUUCGAAGAAGCGACUUGGUCGACG